RNAcentral lists this ribosomal RNA (1220 nucleotides) under uncultured bacterium. RNAcentral's name for it is "bacterial SSU rRNA". It matches the Rfam family "Bacterial small subunit ribosomal RNA", at positions 246 to 1482 of the family's 1533-position model. The record is from RNAcentral.
UAGUUGGUAAGGUAAUGGCUUACCAAGGCGACGAUCAGUAGCCGACCUGAGAGGGUGAUCGGCCACACUGGAACUGAGACACGGUCCAGACUCCUACGGGAGGCAGCAGUGGGGAAUAUUGCACAAUGGGCGCAAGCCUGAUGCAGCAACGCCGCGUGAACGAAGAAGGCUUUCGGGUCGUAAAGUUCUUUUCUUAGGGAAGAAAGAUGACGGUACCUAAGGAAUAAGCACCGGCUAAAUACGUGCCAGCAGCCGCGGUAAUACGUAUGGUGCAAGCGUUUUCCGGAAUCACUGGGCGUAAAGGGUACGUAGGCGGUGAUGCAAGUCAGAAGUGAAAGGCUACGGCUCAACCGUAGUAAGCUUUUUGAAAACUGCAUGACUAGAGUUCAGGAGAGGUAAGUGGAAUUCCUAGUGUAGAGGUGAAAUUCGUAGAUAUUAGGAGGAACACCAGUGGCGAAGGCGACUUACUGGACUGAUACUGACGCUGAGGUACAAAGCGUGGGGAGCGAACAGGAUUAGAUACCCUGGUAGUCCACGCCGUAAACGAUGAAAUACUAGGUGUCGGGGGUCGAACCUCGGUGCCGCAGUUAACACAUUAAGUAUCCGCCUGGGGAGUACGCACGCAAGUGUGAAACUCAAAAGGAAUUGACGGGGACCCGCACAAGCAGCGGAGCAUGUGGUUUUAAUUCGAAGCAACGCGAAGAACCUUACCAAGUCUUUGACAUCCCCAUGACCAUCAUUUAACCAUGAUUUCCCUUCGGGGUAUGAGUGACAGGUGGUGCAUGGUUGUCGUCAGCUCGUGUCGUGAGAUGUUGGGUUAAGUCCCGCAACGAGCGCAACCCUUGUCUUUAGUUGUCAUCAAGUAAUGUUGGACCCUCUAGAGAGACUGCCGGUGAUAAACCGGAGGAAGGUGGGGAUGACGUCAAAUCAUCAUGCCCCUUAUGAUUUGGGCUACACACGUGCUACAAUGGUCGGUACAACAGGCAGUGAAAGGGUAACCUGGAACGAAUCCUCUAAAGCCGAUCUCAGUUCGGAUUGUGGGCUGCAACUCGCCCACAUGAAGUUGGAGUUGCUAGUAAUCGUGAAUCAGAAUGUCGCGGUGAAUGCGUUCCCGGGUCUUGUACACACCGCCCGUCACACCGUGGAAGUUGGGGGCGCCCGAAGCCAGUGAUCCAACCGUAAGGAGGAAGCUGUCGAAGGUGAAACCAAUGACUAGGGUG